RNAcentral lists this ribosomal RNA (463 nucleotides) under uncultured bacterium. RNAcentral describes it as "partial 16S ribosomal RNA". It matches the Rfam family "Bacterial small subunit ribosomal RNA", at positions 356 to 835 of the family's 1533-position model. The record is from RNAcentral.
GGGGAAUAUUGGACAAUGGGGGCAACCCUGAUCCAGCAAUGCCGCGUGUGUGAAGAAGGUCUUCGGAUUGUAAAGCACUUUCGACGGGGACGAUGAUGACGGUACCCGUAGAAGAAGCCCCGGCUAACUUCGUGCCAGCAGCCGCGGUAAUACGAAGGGGGCUAGCGUUGCUCGGAAUGACUGGGCGUAAAGGGCGUGUAGGCGGUUUACACAGUCAGAUGUGAAAUCCCCGGGCUUAACCUGGGAGCUGCAUUUGAUACGUGUAGACUAGAGUGUGAGAGAGGGUUGUGGAAUUCCCAGUGUAGAGGUGAAAUUCGUAGAUAUUGGGAAGAACACCGGUGGCGAAGGCGGCAACCUGGCUCAUGACUGACGCUGAGGCGCGAAAGCGUGGGGAGCAAACAGGAUUAGAUACCCUGGUAGUCCACGCCUGUAAACGAUGUGUGCUAGAUGUUGGGUAACUUUG